RNAcentral lists this ribosomal RNA (230 nucleotides) under uncultured bacterium. Its description in RNAcentral is "partial 16S ribosomal RNA". It matches the Rfam family "Bacterial small subunit ribosomal RNA", at positions 524 to 751 of the family's 1533-position model. The record is from RNAcentral.
UACGUAGGGUGCAAGCGUUAAUCGGAAUUACUGGGCGUAAAGCGUGCGCAGGCGGUUGUGUAAGACAGAUGUGAAAAUCCCCGGGCUCAACCCUGGGAACUGCAUUUGUGACUGCAUAGCUAGAGUACGGUAGAGGGGGAUGGAAUUCCGCGUGUAGCAGUGAAAUGCGUAGAUAUGCGGAGGAACACCGAUGGCGAAGGCAAUCCCCUGGACCUGUACUGACGCUCAUG